GCGGGCGUGGUGGAACUGGUAGACACGCUUGGUUUAGGUCCAAGUGCCUAACAGCUUGGGGGUUCGAGUCCCUCCGCCCGCACCA
This 85-nucleotide transfer RNA is filed under the name Afifella marina. Its description in RNAcentral is "tRNA-Leu". It matches the Rfam family "tRNA". From Rfam's summary of the family: Transfer RNA (tRNA) molecules are approximately 80 nucleotides in length. Their secondary structure includes four short double-helical elements and three loops (D, anti-codon, and T loops). Further hydrogen bonds mediate the characteristic L-shaped molecular structure. tRNAs have two regions of fundamental functional importance: the anti-codon, which is responsible for specific mRNA codon recognition, and the 3' end, to which the tRNAs corresponding amino acid is attached (by aminoacyl-tRNA synthetases). tRNAs cope with the degeneracy of the genetic code in two manners: having more than one tRNA (with a specific anti-codon) for a particular amino acid; and 'wobble' base-pairing, i.e. permitting non-standard base-pairing at the 3rd anti-codon position. Lineage: Bacteria; Pseudomonadati; Pseudomonadota; Alphaproteobacteria; Hyphomicrobiales; Afifellaceae. RNAcentral also lists the same sequence under 6 other names. The record is from RNAcentral.